UUAGAGUUUGAUCCUGGCUCAGGAUGAACGCUAGCGGCAGGCUUAACACAUGCAAGUCGCGGGGCAGCGGGGGAGAAGCUUGCUUCUCCCGCCGGCGACCGGCGCACGGGUGAGUAACACGUAUGCAACCUGCCCUUGUCAGGGGGACAACCCAGCGAAAGUUGGGCUAAUCCCGCGUAUAUCCCAAGGGGGCAUCCCCUUGGGAGGAAAGCUUAGGCGGACAAGGAUGGGCAUGCGGCGCAUUAGGCAGUAGGCGGGGUAACGGCCCACCUAACCGACGAUGCGUAGGGGUUCUGAGAGGAAGGCCCCCCACACUGGUACUGAGACACGGACCAGACUCCUACGGGAGGCAGCAGUGAGGAAGAUUGGUCAAUGGCCGAGAGGCUGAACCAGCCAAGCCGCGUGAGGGAAGAAGGCCCUACGGGUCGUAAACCUCUUUUGUCAGGGAACAAAAACCGGUACGAGUACCGGGUUGAGUGUACCUGAAGAAAAAGCAUCGGCUAACUCCGUGCCAGCAGCCGCGGUAAUACGGAGGAUGCGAGCGUUAUCCGGAUUUAUUGGGUUUAAAGGGUGCGUAGGCGGACUUUUAAGUCAGCGGUGAAAGCCCGGGGCUCAACCCCGGCGAGCCGUUGAAACUGGAGGUCUUGAGUUGGAGAGAGGUAAGCGGAAUGCGUGGUGUAGCGGUGAAAUGCAUAGAUAUCACGCAGAACUCCGAUUGCGAAGGCAGCGUACGGCAGCGUAACUGACGCUGAAGCUCGAAGGUGCGGGUAUCGAACAGGAUUAGAUACCCUGGUAGUCCGCACGGUAAACGAUGGAUGCCCGCUGUUGGCGAUAUAUUGUCAGCGGCCAAGCGAAAGCGUUAAGCAUCCCACCUGGGGAGUACGCCGGCAACGGUGAAACUCAAAGGAAUUGACGGGGGCCCGCACAAGCGGAGGAACAUGUGGUUUAAUUCGAUGAUACGCGAGGAACCUUACCCGGGCUCAAACGACGGAUGAAUACUUUUGAAAGGAGGUAGUCCUUCGGGACAUCCGUCGAGGUGCUGCAUGGUUGUCGUCAGCUCGUGCCGUGAGGUGUCGGCUUAAGUGCCAUAACGAGCGCAACCCCCAUCGCCAGUUGCCAACAGGUAAAGCUGGGAACUCUGGCGAGACUGCCGGCGCAAGCUGUGAGGAAGGCGGGGAUGACGUCAAAUCAGCACGGCCCUUACGUCCGGGGCGACACACGUGUUACAAUGGCAGGUACAGAGAGAUGCGACACGGCGACGUGGAGCGGAACUGUCAAAACCUGUCUCAGUUCGGAUCGGAGUCUGCAACCCGACUCCGUGAAGCUGGAUUCGCUAGUAAUCGCGCAUCAGCCAUGGCGCGGUGAAUACGUUCCCGGGCCUUGCACACACCGCCCGUCA
RNAcentral lists this ribosomal RNA (1399 nucleotides) under uncultured bacterium. RNAcentral describes it as "16S ribosomal RNA". It matches the Rfam family "Bacterial small subunit ribosomal RNA". The record is from RNAcentral.